This 329-nucleotide long non-coding RNA is filed under the name Equus asinus (donkey). RNAcentral's name for it is "lncRNA (ENSEASG00005026318.1)". The record is from RNAcentral. Lineage: Eukaryota; Metazoa; Chordata; Mammalia; Perissodactyla; Equidae.
CUGCGCCAAGCCUCCUACUCACCGGCUAGGUGUUUCGGCUCUGGUUCCGCGAGCUCAUCGGUGGUCGCCCCGAGGGCAGCCUUGGACGCAAACGACCCCAUGCGCACCUCGCAAACCGCCAGCCUCGAGGAUGAUGGCUGCAGAGUCUAGUCCCUCCUCUUCCCGACCAGCGGCAUUAUGAGAAUCUGCAGUGAUGCUACUUCCGUUGUUCCUGAUAUUGGUAAUGCAACAUAGGACAAGAGUGAUGGUGACUAUGAUUACCUAGGAUUAUUGUCAGACCCACUUGGAGGACAGACUUCAGCCAGGCUCCCCAGCUGGAGCUAAGCCAG